Gymnothorax javanicus (giant moray) is the source of this 85-nucleotide non-coding RNA. NCBI's taxonomy places the organism in Eukaryota, Metazoa, Chordata, Actinopteri, Anguilliformes, Muraenidae. The record is from the annotation of a GenBank genome assembly.
ACCGGGAUGGCCGAGUGGUUUUAAGGCGUUUGACGUAAGGUCCAAUGGAUAUAUGCCCACAUGGGUUCGAACCCCACUCCUGGUA